Molecule: ribosomal RNA, 253 nt
Filed under: uncultured bacterium
Lineage: Bacteria
Description: partial 16S ribosomal RNA
Rfam family: Bacterial small subunit ribosomal RNA
Source: RNAcentral
UACAGAGGUCUCAAGCGUUGUUCGGAUUCAUUGGGCGUAAAGGGUGCGUAGGCGGCGCGGUAAGUCGGGUGUGAAAUCUUGGAGCUUAACUCCGAAACUGCAUUCGAUACUGCCGUGCUUGAGGACUGGAGAGGAGACUGGAAUUUACGGUGUAGCGGUGAAAUGCGUAGAUAUCGUAAGGAAGACCAGUGGCGAAGGCGGCGACCUGGACAGGUACUGACACUCAACUACGAAAGCGUGGGGAGCAAACAGG